This 253-nucleotide ribosomal RNA is filed under the name uncultured bacterium. Its description in RNAcentral is "partial 16S ribosomal RNA". It matches the Rfam family "Bacterial small subunit ribosomal RNA", at positions 524 to 776 of the family's 1533-position model. The record is from RNAcentral.
UACGUAGGGUGCGAGCGUUGUCCGGAAUUAUUGGGCGUAAAGAGCUCGUAGGCGGUUUGUUGCGUCUAUCGUGAAAACCUGCAGCUUAACUGUGGGCUUGCGGUGGAUACGGGCAGACUUGAGUUCGGUAGGGGAGACUGGAAUUCCUGGUGUAGCGGUGAAAUGCGCAGAUAUCAGGAGGAACACCGGUGGCGAAGGCGGGUCUCUAGGCCGACACUGACGCUGAGGAGCGAAAGCGUGGGGAGCGAACAGG